This 224-nucleotide unclassified non-coding RNA is filed under the name Basidiomycota sp. RNAcentral describes it as "partial contains small subunit ribosomal RNA, internal transcribed spacer 1, and 5.8S ribosomal RNA". The stretch from base 1 to 47 matches the Rfam family "Eukaryotic small subunit ribosomal RNA", at positions 1785 to 1831 of the family's 1831-position model. The record is from RNAcentral. Lineage: Eukaryota; Fungi; Basidiomycota.
AAAGUCGUAACAAGGUUUCCGUAGGUGAACCUGCGGAAGGAUCAUUAACAAAUCUACAACAAACACCCUGUGUAAACGUUGGUGUCCCUUGGUGUGUGCUGUUGGCUGCUCUGUGCAGCUGCUGCUAGCCAAGGGGCUCUCUAUUACAUUAGAUGAUUGAUUGACAGCCUCUAGAUAUACAGCGUUAACGGAAACAACUUUUAACAAUGGAUCUCUUGGCUCUU